GAUGCGAUCUCUCGGUUUGCAUUUGCAGCCAUUUGAUUACACAUCUCAUACUGAUGAUGUAGGCAUCGAGUGGCGUAAGUGGUCAAAAUCAUUCGAGACGAUGGUACGAGCCAGUCGAAUCAACGACGAAGAAUGGAAGAAAGAUUUGCUGCUACAUUUUGCGGGCCCAAACGUUCAGCAACUGUUCGAUACGCUGUCAGAUUUGCCAGGUAGUGAAAUGCGUGGCCCACUGAUGAAUGUGGAUAGUUACACUCCGAACCUGUCGUGCUACGAGGAAGCUGUAAUCAAAUUGAAUAUGUUCUUUCUGCCGAAAGAAAACACUACAUACGAACGACAUCUGCUGCGUCAAAUAAAGCAAAGAAGUGAUGAGAAUAUCGAUUCUUUCACAGUCCGACUGCGCGUUCAAGCUGAACGAUGUGGAUUCGGGGAUAAGGUAGAAGAAAACAUCAAAGAUCAAAUCAUCGAAUGUUGUCAGUCAGCAGCUCUACGUCGGGAUUUACUUAAACGAGGCGAUGCUGACCUGCGAGAAGUCUUAAGAGUGGCGAAAAUUUUUGAGACAGUCGCAGUACAGGAAAAAUCUUUUACCGGAGAAGAAGUAUUGAAACCAUCUGGCAGCGAGGUAAACAAAAUUGAGAUGAAACCCUCAUAAUAAAAGACAUCGGUUCAUUGAUUCGGCGCGUGUGGAAUGCCACCGCUGUGGAUAUUUUGGUCAUAUGGCCAGAGAUGAAAAAUGCCCAGCGAAAGGGAAAUUAUGCAACAAAUGUGGUGGACGUGACCACUUUGCGAAAAAGUGUCGUAAGCGUAAGCAAUCGAUGGUACCCACUGUUGAUCGGGAUAUUGCCCCAAAGACAGCUGACAAUGUAAAUGAUGGAAUCAUGAAUCAUGGAUCAAACGCAAUCAACCAAAUCGUUGACACAGAGACGGAAUAUAUAUUUAACCUGACCACCUCCGAUAAUGACGGUGAAGUUAGUGAUCCCCGAUAAUCGUUCGAUUAAUCGAUUAAUCGAAUACUUCCUACAGAAAUCGAUUAUUAAUCGAACGAAUACUGCGCAACCAAUAAUCGAAGCGAACGAAUAAUUUGCGUCGAUUAAUCGAUCCAAACCCAGAAGAAAAAAAAUACGACCGCAGCUGUUUUAUUUUUUUUAUAACUUAUUUUGAUUAUAUUGGAUUUACCAUGUAGUGCCUCACCCCACUUCGUAAACACCUUGAUCUGCAUGUCUUGUCAGUGGGCUUUUUUUUAUCCCAUUCGUUUAUUUCAGGCUCAUUAGCAUUUCAGCUGUAACAGAGCCGAAUUUUAAUAGUGCACAGUUGCCAUUUUUUUGGCGUUAUAGUAUUCCUUCUAUACCAUUGCACAUGGUACAUUACAUUUCACAGUAGCCAUUUAGGCGUAAGAGUAUUCGUUCUGUUCUUCCAUUGUCCAGUUAUACCGGACAGCGAAGACAGUUGAUAUGAUCAUUGUUGAGUUAUUAAUAGAAUAGCAGCCCGAUGUUUCUUGCAGAGCAGAGCAGUUGUAUGGAUGAAUCGAUCUUAUUUCGACCGUGGAUCGAUCUCCAUCGCUGAUGAUUGUUGCGUGGACGUAGUUAUUCUGUAACAACACAAAGAUGGUCAAUGAGGGCCCUGAGUUUUGAACUCACGAUCGAUCGCUUACUAAGCGAACGCGCAACCAAUGUGGCUACGGAGACCCCCCCCUGUCAGUGGGCUUUGUCAUUAGUCAUUUUGUUUCAACAGUGCUAGGGUUUAGACUGUAAUCGCGACUUAUGGCGCAAAAAGUGAAUUGGAAGCGAAAGUGAAAGAAAUAUUUUUGCGGAGAAAAUUUAACAAAUACUGCAGGUUCAGAUAUCCAGGGAGAUUGAAAUCCUGUUCCAGAGAAAAAAAGACAGCGUUGCCUUUUCUUCACGGCCAUUUUGAGCGCGUUUUUACAGGUAAUUUAGAAUAGGUUAUAAAAAAGUUCUCUGACGAUAAUUUUGCUGGUAAAAGUGUUUCGACCAUUCGGAACCACGGUCUAAGGUCACUUCGACAAAGGCGAUGGAGUUGAAGCAUCAAUGCCUUCCCGGGGGAGUACCGUUAGUCGCUGAUUGAAUAUCGAUUGGAACCGAAGAAGCCUAAUUGGGAAAAAUUCGCGAUGUCAGAAAUACCUUCGGCAAAAAAUCAAGAAAAAUCCAAAAUCAGUCCGGCUUGGGAGUUCUUUAAAAAAAUUGACGGGAACAAUGUACAAUGUAAAUUAUGUUUGCAUAUUCUAAGUUUUUGCCGCAACACGAGCAACAUGCUCAAUCAUUUGACAUUCAAGCAUAAAAAUUUGGCCAUCUAAAUUCAAGGACGAAAAAGAACAGCAUCACAAGAAUCUUGAAUUGAUACUACUCCCAAAAUGGGUCCACGGCAACAAACUAUUACAUCGGCUUUCGAUCGUCCUUUUUCAUACGGAGGUAAUCCCACCUGAUUCAAUUUUAUAUACAUGAUGGCGGCCACGAAAAUAAAUUUUUGUUAACUCUUCUUUUUCAUCAUAACAUUGAAUGCCCAAGAAUUAUAUAAAUGAACAAGUUCACUUCAAGUUGAACUAUACCACCUUGAUUUAUUUCACCAAUAAGCAAAAUCAUGCAGAGAAGGGUUAGCAAAUGAUGAAAUUCAUCGUGCCUAGAAUUAAUUUUUGUAUAGCAUUUAGAGUUGUUCCUUAUAUUAAAAUAAUAUUAAUUUUCGUUCUUCCAAUAGCAUGUUUUGAUUUUUUUUGUAAAAAUAUGGACAAGCGGUUUUCAAUUUGAGAUUUAAAAUGUUGAAUGAGAGAGAAUUUAAAGUUAUCUAAAAAUAAUCAUAGUUCAAAUUGGUCACUUGGUAAUGAAAACUAAAAUUUUUCGACUGCCGCCAUCAUAAACAGCCUGAUUCUGCGUGACAUGUGAGGUGAGAUGACAAUUAUCACUUAUGUCACGCGAUUCCGCCAGGCGUAUGCCGUGAGAAAUCUCACUUGAGUGAACUCUCACCAUAUUCCCGCUCUCAAAUAUACGUGACGAUUGUCACAUGAACUGGGAUUUCUAGGUGACAAUCGUCGACAUGUGUUGAGGUGUCGACAGCGCAAAAAAACAAAUGAAAAAUGGAAGAGGAAUAAUAAGUGUCUUUCUGGGUCGUAGAAAAUCGAUAGUAAUGGUAUUGUAUGUAUCAAUAAAUUCAAUUUAUCUUCAAUUUUCACAGUGCGAGUGACGAAUUGCAAGUAGUUUGAAUUUUUUGUGAAAACGGUAGUGAAUCUGUUAACCCUCAAUCGAACGAAUAAGCA
This is a long non-coding RNA of Toxorhynchites rutilus septentrionalis, 3262 nucleotides long. RefSeq lists it as uncharacterized. The transcript has 3 exons. NCBI's taxonomy places the organism in Eukaryota, Metazoa, Arthropoda, Insecta, Diptera, Culicidae. The record is from RefSeq and is a predicted model, not a curated record.